This 754-nucleotide ribosomal RNA is filed under the name uncultured bacterium. RNAcentral's name for it is "bacterial SSU rRNA". It matches the Rfam family "Bacterial small subunit ribosomal RNA", at positions 28 to 776 of the family's 1533-position model. The record is from RNAcentral.
GAUGAACGCUGGCGGCGUGCUUAACACAUGCAAGUCGAACGAAGAGGGUUAGAAUGAGAGCUUCGGCAGGAUUUCUUUCCAUCUUAGUGGCGGACGGGUGAGUAACGUGUGGGCAACCUGCCCUGUACUGGGGAAUAAUCAUUGGAAACGAUGACUAAUACCGCAUGUGGUCCUCGGGAGGCAUCUUCUGAGGAAGAAAGGAUUUAUUCGGUACAGGAUGGGCCCGCAUCUGAUUAGCUAGUUGGUGAGAUAACAGCCCACCAAGGCGACGAUCAGUAGCCGACCUGAGAGGGUGAUCGGCCACAUUGGGACUGAGACACGGCCCAAACUCCUACGGGAGGCAGCAGUGGGGAAUAUUGCACAAUGGGCGAAAGCCUGAUGCAGCAACGCCGCGUGAAGGAUGAAGGGUUUCGGCUCGUAAACUUCUAUCAAUAGGGAAGAAACAAAUGACGGUACCUAAAUAAGAAGCCCCGGCUAACUACGUGCCAGCAGCCGCGGUAAUACGUAGGGGGCAAGCGUUAUCCGGAAUUACUGGGUGUAAAGGGAGCGUAGGCGGCAUGGUAAGCCAGAUGUGAAAGCCUUGGGCUUAACCCGAGGAUUGCAUUUGGAACUAUCAAGCUAGAGUACAGGAGAGGAAAGCGGAAUUCCUAGUGUAGCGGUGAAAUGCGUAGAUAUUAGGAAGAACACCAGUGGCGAAGGCGGCUUUCUGGACUGAAACUGACGCUGAGGCUCGAAAGCGUGNGGAGCANACAGG